AGUGUGCUGGGCACCAGGAGACUCCGGGACAGGGGGUCUUGGCCGUCGGCGUCAUGGUUUCGCGCGUGCAGCUCCCGCCUGAGAUCCAGCUGGCUCAGCGCCUGGCGGGGAAUGAGCAGGUGACCCGGGACCGGGCGGUGAGGAAGCUCCGGAAAUACAUCGUCGCCAGGACUCAGCGGGCCGCAGGUGGUUUUACGCACGAUGAGCUGCUGAAGGUGUGGAAAGGACUGUUUUAUUGCAUGUGGAUGCAGGACAAGCCACUCCUCCAGGAAGAAUUAGGAAGGACCAUUUCCCAGCUCGUUCAUGCUUUUCAGAACAUGGAGGCCCGUGAGUAUGCUCUGCCAUAGUUGGGGACAUUUGUAGAUGUCAGAACCUCUGAGCAUCAGAGCCACCAGACCCAGGAGGUUUGUGUUCUCAAAUCCAGAGUAAGGAAUACCUAAGGGCAAGAGAGCACCAGCUGGUGUCUGUGGGUGCUUAGCAUGUAUGAAAUGCUGGUGUAAGUAUUCAACGUGGAUUAGCUCAUUUACCCAAAACACUAUUUCGAGUCUAAUGGGUUAGUAUCUUACACUUUAAAAAUAAAGUGAAAAGCCAGGAUAAUGUCACCAAGAGAUUUGACUGAAUUCCACCUGAUGGUCCUGAGGUUCCUGCGGUUGAUUUUUCUGACUCCUCUGUUCUCUGGUGACCGGAGUUGAGAAGUUCUUACCCUGCCUGUCUGUGGGACUCACUUGAGGAGCCUCUAAAAAUCCUGAUGUCCAGAUCCUGGUCCAGCAAAACCCAGUUCUGGGGGUAGGGCCUGGGCAUCAGCAUUUUUAUCUAUAAAUAAGUAAAGAAAGCGUUCCUCCACGUUCUCACCUCACUUCCCAGGGUGGCUUCGUGCUCCUCAGUGGUUCUCUUCUGGCUUAUUCCUCCUCCAGAGCACCUGUUCCUUCAGGCCUUCUGGCAGACCAUGAAUCGCGAGUGGACGGGCAUUGACAGGCUGCGCCUGGAUAAAUUCUACAUGGUGAGACAGCCACCA
This 1015-nucleotide small RNA is filed under the name Pongo abelii (Sumatran orangutan). RNAcentral describes it as "retained intron". The record is from RNAcentral. Lineage: Eukaryota; Metazoa; Chordata; Mammalia; Primates; Hominidae.